This 391-nucleotide transfer-messenger RNA is filed under the name Patescibacteria group bacterium. It matches the Rfam family "transfer-messenger RNA". Rfam says of the family: Bacterial tmRNA, also known as 10Sa RNA or SsrA, is named for its dual tRNA and mRNA-like properties. Its role is to liberate the mRNA from a stalled ribosome. The record is from RNAcentral.
GGGGAUGCAGGGUUUCGAUGGAAUUACGAGCAAUACAUGCAGGUUGGGAGGUUGGUCUUCCAUUAAUCAACCAAAAAGUACAAGUGCAAACUUAGUACAAAAAGCUAAAAGCGUAUUGGCUCGCGCCUUUGCGCCGCAGCUUGCAAUGGCUGUCGCUUAAUAGCAAUAGCCCAUCCGCUCGGUUGAUUCUCGAUAAGCCGAAUCCGGGUGUCAUAUUUCGAGAUAGGUAGCAAGGGUUUGUUCAGCCCAAGCCACUAAAACCAUAAUUGGACUUUGCAAUCGGUUAUUUCGCCUGCUUUUUAACCGCUUGCGAGAAACCAAGCGGGCUAAGCAUGUAGAUUGUAUUGUGAAUAUUUUUCAGACGCGGGUUCAACUCCCGCCAUCUCCACCA